This is a long non-coding RNA of Calypte anna (Anna's hummingbird), 1623 nucleotides long. RefSeq lists it as uncharacterized. NCBI's taxonomy places the organism in Eukaryota, Metazoa, Chordata, Aves, Apodiformes, Trochilidae. The record is from RefSeq and is a predicted model, not a curated record. The transcript has 3 exons.
GGCCACCGGGCUCCGAUGGCCACCGGGCUUCGAUGGCCCCCAGCCCCGCGGAGGCCUCUGCGGGGUGGUCCCGGGUGUGUUUGUAAAGGGUCUGCUGUGAGAGGAAGGAACACCGGCUGCUGUGAAAAGCACAUUUAAUUGCUGGUAAUUAGGCUGUGCUGUCAGAGGACUUUUUAUUCCUUCAGAAACAGAUUUGCCUCCCUCAGACGAUCACGAGCCUGUCCCGGUAAGAUGUCUCCUUUUGCUACAACAUCUCCAGCUGAAAACUGUGCUGGGUAUCUGCUGCAGCUCCUGCUCCUCAGAUGCUCCUGCCGGGUCGCUGCUGUUCCUUGGGACCCUCCAACUGCUGGUGCUGGUCUCGCACAAACUGGUAACACUGGGAUUGGAUUCCAGGCUGAACUGGUGACGUUCCAUCCCCAUCAGGACUGCUGGCAAACGGGAGGCAAAUAACGGUGCUGAACGGAGCCAUUCUCCGGUUAAAAUUUCUCUGGAGGGUGAACGAGGUGAAACGGGGGAGUGGGACUGGGUUUCUGCUGAGCUCUUGGAUUAUUUUAUGCCUUUUGAGAUGAAAUAUUGGUUCUCCAGGAACUGGCUCUGCCUCGGCACCGCUCCCAUGGCCUGGAGCCACCCCUGCCUGCACCCCGAGCCCACAAACACCCCAAAAGCCACGGCAGGAGCCCAAGGAGGAUGCUCCCAGGUCAGCAGAUGGCUGGGAAGGUAAACGAGAGACUCUGGAUUUCUUUUACCACUGAUCCUGCAGAGCUCCUGCUCUGCCGGGACUGGGCUGGGAGACCCGGUGCCCACAGCCCAGCACCGCUGUCCCCACAGCCCGGUGACCCUGUGCUGGCACACAGGGUGUGGGGACCCUCACGGUGCUUUUCUACCUGUUUGGUGAAAUGCUGAAUGGUCUUUAGUGAAUCAGCCCGUGCUCCACAGCUCUGGAGCUGAAGUGGCUCCUGCAGAGGUGGGAACACAAACGCGCUGAAAAGCUCAAGUUUUCAUUCGAUACAAACCUCGAGUCCUUGGAGAUCCUGCCCUCUGCUCACUGCCAGCUGAGAUAUGGAUCUGAAAUGAUUGUUUGUAACUUCAUAAAGACACCAGAGCUGCCCUUAGGGCAGGUAAGGAUGGCCCAGCCCCAGUGCUGAUAGAAAUCAUUAAACCUGUGACCAUGAAGGGAAUGAAAGCUCCUGAUGAAAUGUGUGCUGAUACUGAACUAUUCUGCAUCCCACGACAUCAAAAUCAGGCAGGGACAGGAGUGCAGGGCUCCUGUGCAGGGUGUUCUACUCCCUGAUCUCCUGGAAUGGGCACAAAUAUUCCACAUUAACCAUGCAGGGGGGAAGGCUGCAGUGUGCAGAAUGUACAGGGAGACUCAGGAACUGGAAAUUCUGAGUUUCAUGCCAUCGUUUUGCCUCCUCUGCCCCUGUCCAAACACUAUCUGAUGCCUCUUCUGCCUGGUGCUUUCCUGUUUCUCUCCCUGAAUAAAGGCAUCAACAAAAUGCCAGGACAAGGUGUUUACACAAGGGCAGGGGGAGCAAGCAGUAACUCUUGGUUUCCUCUGUGUCUUUUUUCCUGGACCUUAAGGAAAUCAGCUUUUUUCUCAUUUGAAAAACUAAAUUAAUACCU